Molecule: transfer RNA, 62 nt
Filed under: Tuxedo nicholi
Lineage: Eukaryota; Metazoa; Arthropoda; Insecta; Hemiptera; Miridae
Also listed under: 1 other name
Description: tRNA-Arg
Source: RNAcentral
AAGUAGUGAAGUAAAAUAUUACAUUUAGUUUCGACCUAAAAAUAGAGCCAUCUCCUUACUUU